This 254-nucleotide ribosomal RNA is filed under the name uncultured bacterium. RNAcentral describes it as "partial 16S ribosomal RNA". It matches the Rfam family "Bacterial small subunit ribosomal RNA", at positions 524 to 776 of the family's 1533-position model. The record is from RNAcentral.
CACGUAGGGGGCGAGCGUUGUCCGGAUUUAUUGGGCGUAAAGAGCUCGUAGGCGGUUCGGCAAGUCGGGCGUGAAAUUUCGAGGCUCAACCUCGAAACGCCACUCGAUACUGCUGUGACUGGAGUCCGGUAGAGGAGUGCGGAAUUCCUGGUGUAGCGGUGAAAUGCGCAGAUAUCAGGAGGAACACCAACGGCGAAGGCAGCACUCUGGGCCGGUACUGACGCUGAGGAGCGAAAGCGUGGGGAGCGAACAGG